GAUGAACGCUGGCGGUAUGCCUAACACAUGCAAGUCGUACGAGAGUUUUUAACUCUAGUGGCGGACGGGUGAGUAACACGUGAGAAUUUGCCUUUAGGAGGGGGACAACAAUCGGAAACGAAUGCUAAUACCCCAUAUGCUUUCGAGUGAAAUGGAUUUUAUCCGCCUAGGGAGAAGCUCGCGGCUGAUUAGCUUGUUGGUAAGGUAAGAGCUUACCAAGGCGACGAUCAGUAUCUGGUUUGAGAGGACGAUCAGACACACUGGAACUGAGACACGGUCCAGACUCCUACGGGAGGCAGCAGUGGGGAAUUUUCCGCAAUGGGCGAAAGCCUGACGGAGCAAUACCGCGUGAGGGAAGAAUGCCUAUGGGUUGUAAACCUCUUUUUUCAGGGAGGAAUAAAAUGACGUGUACCUGAAGAAUAAGCAUCGGCUAACUCCGUG
This 441-nucleotide ribosomal RNA is filed under the name uncultured bacterium. RNAcentral describes it as "bacterial SSU rRNA". It matches the Rfam family "Bacterial small subunit ribosomal RNA", at positions 28 to 507 of the family's 1533-position model. The record is from RNAcentral.